Molecule: ribosomal RNA, 479 nt
Filed under: uncultured bacterium
Lineage: Bacteria
Description: partial 16S ribosomal RNA
Rfam family: Bacterial small subunit ribosomal RNA
Source: RNAcentral
GACGAACGCUGGCGGCGUGCUUAACACAUGCAAGUCGAACGAUGAACCCGGAGCUUGCUCCGGCGGAUUAGUGGCGAACGGGUGAGUAACACGUGAGUAACCUGCCCUUGACUCUGGGAUAACUGCUAGAAAUGGUAGCUAAUACCGGAUACGACCCUCGGUGGCAUCACCAGGGGGUGGAAAGAAUUUCGGUCAAGGAUGGACUCGCGGCCUAUCAGCUAGUUGGUGAGGUAACGGCUCACCAAGGCGACGACGGGUAGCCGGCCUGAGAGGGUGGCCGGCCACACUGGGACUGGGACACGGCCCAGACUCCUACGGGAGGCAGCAGUGGGGAAUAUUGCGCAAUGGGGGCAACCCUGACGCAGCCAUGCCGCGUGUGUGAAGAAGGCCUUCGGGUUGUAAAGCACUUUCGGAUGUGACGAUGAUGACGGUAACAUCAGAAGAAGCCCCGGCUAACUUCGUGCCAGCCGCCGCGGUAA